GUCUUAAUGCAGCUUGAAAGCUGAUUCAUUGGAGUAGGGGGCAGCGUCCUCUCUGAGGAAGGCAGGGGAAGCUGGGAGGGAACGUGACGGGCUUUUGAGGAAGGGAAGGAGGUAUCGAGGGUGCAAAAGAGAACUCAGCGGCAGCACUUGACCGCUGUGAUUGGGAAGAUGCGAGGUGUGGCCAUGGUCGGAGCAGCUCGUGCUCUUCAGGGUGAUUGUGCAGUGAGCCCCGAGGCGCUCCCGAGCAACGGCGCUGGACUGGAGCUGGCCAAAGGGCUGUGGCCAUGCACAGCAUGGCUGUAAACAGAGGUGUUUGUUCCCUGGCACCGGUCAGCUCUGUAGGUGACGGAGCUCUCAAAUGCCCUGGCGUUGGAAGGCCGAGCGAAAUCUCCCUGGGAAGAAGGGAACCCUGAGCACCGGAGUUUGGCCUGGAAGGUGGCUGGUAGAAGAGGGUGGCUGAGGACGCUCUAAAGGCAGGAGCUGAAGGAGGCAGCCUGGGAAGCCUCUGGUCACUCUCAGCAGCAUCAGCGGGCUGGUAUCGGAGAAGGGCUUCUGGGGGCUUAAGGUUUCCGUCUUGGUCCUGAAUUGCCUGGAUUGGACCUGGAUUCUCCACUAUGGGGAUGUCGCCUUCCUUUUCUCCUACUGUGGUUGUGCCUGAGACACGGUCCUGGUGUCGCAGGUGAAUUACUCAGGGAAGUCAUCCGUAGCGGGUUAAUUAAAAGGGCUUUCUUCAUCAUGAAGAGAUGAUCAAAUUGUAGGGAAAUAAUCUGAUUUUAUUUUUUAUAAUUGUGCUAUUAUUGCAGAGCCCUGCAUAGUGGAAAUAAUAAAACCUGUCAAAGUCACAUGGCAAGAAGAUCCAAUGUUUCCAAGACAGCAAUUCUGAGUGUGAUGGUGAACCGGAGGCAUCAGAAAGCAAAAGGGACAAAGAAAUGCAAGUUAUAUUUGUAGCUGUUGUCUACGUGGUUGUGGUAGGUUGAUGCUAUGAGAAUAUUAAUAGCAGCACCUGGCCCACAGGGAGAGUGACAUCUUCCUUCCACGUCUUUGGACAAGGGCAGUCGUCUGUGAAACCAUUCCUUGCUGCACAGUAUGUAGUGGUCAGAAAUGCCAAUACCACACGUGGCUGUUGAGUAGAAAAGCUGACUUUCUAGCUCAGUGCACAAGAACUCAGCUGGGUAGUGGGUUUGGCCCAAAGUCAAAUCGCAUGUGAAGUUUUCUUCAGAAAAGUUUUUUUAAUAGGAGGCUGUAUUGGGUUACUGUGGAGUAGUGUCCUUCAAGAGAUACUAUUUCUCUGGAGCCUUACAGCCUUACAGCUUGGACUUGUGCUAACGGAAUUUGGCACUAACUCUUAUGAUGCUAAAUUUCCUUUGUGUUUUUUCUAGGUUUUCCUCUUUGCCACAGACAGAAAGUGCUAGAUGUUUCUUCUUCUGCACAGAUGAUGAACACCUAAGAGGUGUAACAGAACUUAGUCAGCCUCUUUUUGACAAGUUAUCUAGACAUUUUGGAUCCUUUCAGGCAUAUAUCUGAUGCUUAAUUGUUUCCUGUGUUUCUGAUGUUCUUUUUAGAAAUAUUGACUAUUCUUACCAGCUACAAAUGCCCACAUGGUUUUUGAUCCCAAAUACUGUGGGUUUUUUCUUGUUAAUAUCAUUAAUUUCAGAGUCGAAAACAAAACAAACAAACAAAAAUAAACCCCAAACAAAAAAAGAAAAAGAAAAAA
Strigops habroptila (Kakapo) is the source of this 1714-nucleotide long non-coding RNA. The record is from Ensembl. Lineage: Eukaryota; Metazoa; Chordata; Aves; Psittaciformes; Psittacidae.